UGAACCUUCGAGAGAGUGAAAGAGCCUCUUCGCACGAAGGGACAUCCCUCUUCGUGCAAAUGGCCAGUUCGCUCCAACCUAGUCGCCUGAAGCCCUUCGCACGAAAGGCCCAGUCGCUCUAGAUCACUUCUCGACCUAUAAGUACGUACCUAACCCCACUCAUUUCACUUUCCCAGUCGCCCAAGACACUCUCAGACGCUCUGAACUUGCAUUUCCGAGAAGAAGCAUUUCAGGUAACCGCGGUGUAUCGACUCUCAUCUAAUCGGCUCUCAGUUUAGUGGAAAGCUACGCAAAACCGUCGCUAGUUGAUGGUAUGAAGAAACUCAUUUAGGGUGGAUUUAGAUACACACCUUAAAGAUGAACUAUUAUUUAUGUUUCAUGAUGGUUGUUUGCUACUUGAUGUAUUUGGUUUUGAACAAUGUAUUUCGAUUUACCAUUGAUGCAAUUUGAAUUAAUUAAA
Long non-coding RNA from Helianthus annuus (common sunflower), 460 nucleotides. RefSeq lists it as uncharacterized. Lineage: Eukaryota; Viridiplantae; Streptophyta; Magnoliopsida; Asterales; Asteraceae. The transcript has 3 exons. The record is from RefSeq and is a predicted model, not a curated record.